Molecule: ribosomal RNA, 1417 nt
Filed under: uncultured prokaryote
Description: partial 16S ribosomal RNA
Rfam family: Bacterial small subunit ribosomal RNA
Source: RNAcentral
ACGAGGAACAGGGUGCUUGCACCUUGUAGCCGAGUGGCGAACGGGUGAGUAACACGUGACCAACCUGUCUUUGGGAGGGGGAUAACCCGGGGAAACCUGGGCUAAUACCGCAUAUUGUCCGAGAGUCGCAUGGCUUUUGGAUAAAAGGGGGCCUCUGCUUGCAAGCUCUCACCCAGAGAGGGGGUCGCGACGUAUCAGCUAGUUGGUGAGGUAAUGGCUUACCAAGGCUACGACGCGUAGCGGGUCUAAGAGGAUGACCCGUCACAUUGGGACUGAGAUACGGCCCAGACUCCUACGGGAGGCAGCAGUGGGGAAUAUUGCGCAAUGGCCGAAAGGCUGACGCAGCGACGCCGCGUGUGGGAGGAAGCCCUUCGGGGUGUAAACCACUGUCAGGGGGGAAGAAUCCUGGAGGUAUGAAUAGUACCUUCAGUUGACGGUACCCCCAGAGGAAGCGCCGGCUAACUCCGUGCCAGCAGCCGCGGUAAGACGGGGGGCGCAAGCGUUGUUCGGAAUUACUGGGCGUAAAGGGCGGGCAGGCGGUUUGCUCAGUCUUCUGUGAAAAUCCGGGGCUCAACCCCGCGAAAUGCAGAAGAUACUGGCAGACUAGAGACCGGUAGAGGCUAGCGGAAUUCCUGGUGUAGCGGUGGAAUGCGUAGAUAUCAGGAAGAACCCCUGUGGCGAAGGCGGCUAGCUGGGCCGGAUCUGACGCUGAUCCGCGAAAGCGUGGGGAGCAAACAGGAUUAGAUACCCUGGUAGUCCACGCCGUAAACGAUGGGCACUAGAUGCUGGGUCUAUAGACAGGUUCAGUGUCGCAGCUAACGCACUAAGUGUCCCACCUGGGGAGUACGUUCGCAAGAAUGAAACUCAAAGGAAUUGACGGGGGCCCGCACAAGCGGUGGAGCAUGUGGUUUAAUUCGAUGCAACGCGAAGAACCUUACCUGGGCUUGACAUGUCGGUGGUACUCUCUUGGAAACAGGAGGGGACCCUUCGGGGAGCCGUCACAGGUGCUGCAUGGCCGUCGUCAGCUCGUGUCGUGAGAUGUUGGGUUAAGUCCCGCAACGAGCGCAACCCUCGCCCGUAGUUGCUAACAGGUUAUGCUGAGGACUCUACGGGGACUGCCGGUGAUAAACCGGAGGAAGGUGGGGAUGACGUCAAGUCCUCAUGGCCCUUAUGCCCAGGGCGACACACGUGCUACAAUGGCCGGUACAGAGGGCAGCAAUGCCGCGAGGUGGAGCGAAUCCCCAAAAACCGGUCUAAGUUCGGAUUGCAGUCUGCAACUCGACUGCAUGAAGCUGGAAUCGCUAGUAAUCGUGGGUCAGCCAUACCACGGUGAAUACGUUCCCGGGCCUUGUACACACCGCCCGUCAAGCGAUGGAAGCUGGGGGUGCCCGAAGCCGGUGGCCUAACCUUCGGGAGA